AGGUCCAUUCUGUAGCAAUACAGAGGAAGACCUAGUGGCGAACGGGUGAGGAACACGUGAGGAACCUGCCCCGAACUUUGGGAUAACAGUUGGAAACGACUGCUAAUACCGAAUGCCGUUACGAAGUGGCAUCACUUUGUAACGAAAGAAUUCGGUUCGGGAGGGCCUCGCGGCCUAUCAGCUAGUUGGUGGGGUAAUGGCCUACCAAGGCAUCGACGGGUAGCUGGUCUGAGAGGAUGAUCAGCCACACUGGGACUGAGACACGGCCCAGACUCC
RNAcentral lists this ribosomal RNA (276 nucleotides) under unidentified marine bacterioplankton. Its description in RNAcentral is "partial 16S ribosomal RNA". It matches the Rfam family "Bacterial small subunit ribosomal RNA", at positions 68 to 339 of the family's 1533-position model. The record is from RNAcentral.